ACCUGCCCGAUAUUGGCUAGGGGCUCCCCUUAUUACUGUCGUUUCCCAACACUGGCUCGAUCAGCUGAUUCGUAGCGGUGUGAAAACGAGGAAGAUUUGCUGGUAGCAAAAAGUGAAAAGUUUUGAGGGAAAGUGGAUAAAAUUUCUCACCCACACCAACGCAGGAGCCGAAGAAGAGAGGCGGGAAAAAAAAUAAGGAGAGAGGCAACUCCCCUCCCUCGCCACAGCCUUCACCAGUAGACCAGCCGGCCUUGGCCAAAAAAUUACGGCCGGUCCAGCGACGAUGGCAACCACAGCUGUUCCGCGGAUGUGAUACUCCGAAAAACCCCGAGAACCAAAAAUGUUUAAUUACAAAGCUUUUGCGCCCAACCAAAGAAAUGAAGCAAAGCAAAGCAAAAACGUUGAGACCCUCGACGACCACGACGACGAUGUCUCGCAUAUUGACCCAGCCAAGUGGAACGUGUCGAGUACGGUUAGUUAACCGAAAAAGCAUUGGUAAAGUUACCGCUUAACCCUUUUGACGUCCCUGACAGCAACAAAACGAAAAAAAGUGAAAAAAAAUGGGAGAAAAGCUGAGAUACGAAACGUCAUUAGCAUUCAGACUGUUACUUCUCCUACCUCUCCACCCAUGCGAUGUACAUGGGAUAGAAGAAGAGGUAAGUGGGAGAAACGGAAAAGAACAGGAAGUUGGUGGAAACUGGAAACCUAAAGACGACGAAAGUUUCAAGCCGAAUGCACAAAAUGGAAAACACAUCGAAAUAUUUCCACCAAAAUAAAAUGAAAUGAAAUCUGCAACGACUGUGACGCAUUUAGCUGUCAGUUUGUCUUAGGACUGACAAGCAGAAGUAUCCUUGGCUCGUUGCCGCCACAUCGUGUUGCUGCUAUCUACUGCUUUUGCUGAUGGGCUUCAAUAAAAAGAGGAAAAGGAAGCAAAGCCAAAACGUAACACGGCAAAACGCAGCGCGCGUAAAAUAAACAAAUUUCCGCAGACGACACUCAACUAUGCAAACAGUAAUUGGAGCAGCUUUUAAGCCGAGGACAAGGGAAACUGGUGCAAAGGAUGUUACCGCCAAGUAAACGAAGGUAAACCGUAGCUAAAACCAAAAACUGAAUUUCCACUCCUUCAACCUGGCCUCCUUAUAUAGCCCUAUCCAUAGCUGAAAGCUAACGAAGGUGUGCGCGAAACGCUCUAGGAUUUGCAGGAUUCACAGGAUUCGCGAGAUUCAUGUAUAACAAGACAGAAACAACACACACACAUAAAAAAAAAAAACCAAAAUGAAUAUAAACCCGACAAAAAAAUGUUUCUGCAAAUGCAAUAUUGUAAUGCUGUAAUGUGUGGGGAUAAAUGUAUGCAUAUCUCUCACACAGGAAGCUAGAGCAAAAGACAAAAAGAGAUAGAGAGAGAAAGACAGAGAAGGAGGUGGGCAUGUGGUGACUUUGUAUUGUGGGUGGAUGCCAGGAAGUCGCCACUUUUCGUGUAUGCGGAAAAUUAAAGAAAACAAAACACCGAACGAAAUCACAAACGGAAAGCGUUAAAAUACAACAUCAUACCAAAUAAUAAUGUGAGAGUAAAACGGAUGAAUAUACCAAAGGACCCAGACUGGCAUGAAGGGGAAUGGAAAUAUGAUUCUACUUGCUGACACUCUCUCUGUCUCUCCCUCCCUCUCUCUCUCUCUCUCUCUCUCUUUCUCUCUCUAUGUUGGAAAAGUAACAUGGAUCCGGUUACAUAGCAUAAAUGUUGUAAUGCCUCAAGAACUCACACAUAGCAAAUAAGCCAGAUGACACGAUUAGAUAAUUGGCAUAUUAAAUGUUUCCAUAUUUAACUGUUAUUAUCUUGAAUCUCAAAUAAAAUUAAACUUGGAGAUAAUUAUGUUUAGUCAUUAGCAAUAUUCCAAGUAUGUAAAGUCUUUAUGUAAACUUAAA
Molecule: long non-coding RNA, 1923 nt
Organism: Drosophila willistoni
Lineage: Eukaryota; Metazoa; Arthropoda; Insecta; Diptera; Drosophilidae
Exons: 3
Source: RefSeq, a predicted model, not a curated record